GGAACCAGGACGUGCAUGUGCAGCCGGAAACAGCAAGUGAAAAGAAUUGUUGGUUAGGAGAGAGUACCUUGUGAGAAUAGUUGGUUAAGAGAGAAGCCUGUGAGAAUGGUUGGUAAGGAGAGAGAGGAGCUUGUGAGAAUGGUUGGUUAGGAGAGAGAGAAGCCUGUGAGAAUGGUUUGCUAAGAGAGAGGAGCAUAUUAGAAUGGCUGUUUAGGAGAGAAAUGGACAUGUGAGAAUGGUUGGUAAGGGGAGAGAGGAUCUUGUGAGAAUGGUUGGUAAGGGGAGAGGAGCUGGUGAGAAUGAUUGGUUAGGAGAGAGGAGCUGGUGAGAAUGAUUGGUUAGGAGAGAGGAGCUGGUAAGAAUGAUUGGUUAGGAGAUAGGAGAUAGUAAGAACGGCUGGUUGGAAGAGAGAAAUGUGAGGGGAAGGUCAAAAAAGCCAAGUUAAGACAGCAGUUGUGGAGAUAUAUAUAUAUUUUUUAAUCAUAAAUAUGAUUUGUGUUAUUUUAAUUUACUUUGUUCUGUAACACGGAAUAAUCAAAUACACUUAAGAUGAGAUCGAAAAGUAAAGAAACCCAUAGCAUUUUUGAACCAAUUAAUUUGUUGGCUCUUGUUCUGUUAUUGGUUGUUGUUAAAAUCAAUGUUUCUAUGUAUUCUAAUAAUAGUAACUCUAACAGUCGGGUCUGUUUACCUGGCCAUAGCUUCAAAUUUGCAUUGUAGUUGUUAAUAAAGGUCAUGCCAUUUUAGUAGCUAAAGAAUGUCAUAUCAUUGUAGUAGCUAAUAAAGGUUCUUUUUUGGAGUAGCUGAUAACAGUCAUGUCCUUUUCUAGACGCUGAAUCAAUAAGAUACAGUGAGAAGUAAUUUAGGUAAACUGUGCAUUUAAUAUUUAGAAUGCUGGGUCAGGGGCUUUUCAAAUUCUGAUAUGAAUACAUUACCAAAUAAUUUUCACAACAAAAUAUUAUGUUUUCAUUUGUAUUUAAAUACAAUAUUGUCAAUAUUUCCAUGGUUGUUCACUAUGGAGUUGAACAGUAUAUUUGAAAUGUGCUAUAUUUAUAUUUACUGCUUUGGGACAGAGGGGUAUACGUUUAUUUGAAAGAUGGGUGAACUGAUUUAAACACAAUAGUUAUUCAUAGGUUGAUCAUAGAACAGUAACACAAUCUAUAUUAUCCUUAUCAAAUUACAGAAGGACCAGGUGAUUUUUUUAAACGUGCACCUAUUGAAAACAAAUCUCUUAACGUUUUAUUGUAUGGUAUUUAACAACAUUACAAAUUCAAAUAUUUUCUUUAAAAAGUGGAGCUACAAAACUGUGAAAAGGGCCAUGCUACUUGAUUGAUUUGGUGGGCGCUCCCACUCGUUCUCCUGUAUGUGAAAAGCAUUACAGCAGGGCAACAGAGCAGAAGUAAGAUGUGUUUUGUUAGUUGUCUGAAACCCUGGGGACUGGAAUCACCUAAUCUCCCCAUACUAUACCCAGGAUUGAGAAAAAUACAUACAUUUGUUUCUGACAAACAUUUUGUCAUUAAAAAAUAUGAAAUAGAAAAUAA
This is a long non-coding RNA of Esox lucius (northern pike), 1538 nucleotides long. NCBI's taxonomy places the organism in Eukaryota, Metazoa, Chordata, Actinopteri, Esociformes, Esocidae. The record is from Ensembl.